This is a long non-coding RNA of Myotis brandtii (Brandt's bat), 864 nucleotides long. RefSeq lists it as uncharacterized. The record is from RefSeq and is a predicted model, not a curated record. The transcript has 2 exons. NCBI's taxonomy places the organism in Eukaryota, Metazoa, Chordata, Mammalia, Chiroptera, Vespertilionidae.
GUGACCCUUCAGUCCUCAGGCCGACACUCUAUCCACUGAGCCAAACCACCUAGGGCUCUGGUAGUUUCCUAAAUCAUCAUACAUUUAUUUACCUGUUGUUUGCUAUUCCUUGUAGUUAAAGUGUAUUAUUUCUCCCCAUUUGGCUUUAUGUCAUAACAUAGUGUAAGAAUAGGUUUAACUGUAGGAAAGCAAUUACAUUGCCAGAAAGUUGCAGAGCUCACCUUGGUGAACUGAUUUUUCUGGUAAUCAUUGUUAUUAGUUCUGUUACUUGGGUUUAUGGACCAGAGUAUGAAUUUAAAAUGUUAAGGAUAUAUGAAGUAGCUUCAUAGGAGAGUUUGGCAAUCAUGUGUAGGGUUUCUCUAAUUUUCCAGUGAAAUUCCCUUAGUGACAAAGAGAGCCUACACCCGGUUAAAGGAAGGCACCUAUAAGUCAGAGCAGCUCUCUGUAAACCUGAAAUUUCUUGAAAAUACUGGGUUGUGCCUUAAACACUUGUUAAAAAUCUCUAUAUAUUCUUUUUUUCCUCCUUCCCUUCCCUCUUCCAUUCCUUCCAUCUCCAGUCGUCACAAACCAGUUAAAGAUCCAGACACAUAUGUCACUUGAGAGGAACACCAUGUGGCCUCAUUUUACUGUGGAGGUGGUUGGUCUGUGUCCCCAGAGCUCUGUGGACAAGCAUAUUUUACUGAGAGCCCUGGCAGCCACGAAUCUGCUGCUUCUGUCUCUGUGGAUAUGUUUAUUCUGGAAUCAUAUGAAUGGAAUCAUAGAUGGCCUCUCAAGAUCUUUUAAAGCAGGAAGAAAAGAUGAAUUAAAGUUUGAAUUGAAUCUAUGUAUUAUAGUUUGAAAAUUAACAAUCCAGCUAUGGCAACA